Molecule: ribosomal RNA, 492 nt
Filed under: uncultured bacterium
Lineage: Bacteria
Description: partial 16S ribosomal RNA
Rfam family: Bacterial small subunit ribosomal RNA
Source: RNAcentral
AGUGAACGCUGGCGGUAGGCCUAACACAUGCAAGUCGAACGGCAGCACAGUAAGAGCUUGCUCUUACGGGUGGCGAGUGGCGGACGGGUGAGGAAUACAUCGGAAUCUACUUUUUCGUGGGGGAUAACGUAGGGAAACUUACGCUAAUACCGCAUACGACCUACGGGUGAAAGCAGGGGAUCUUCGGACCUUGCGCGGUUGAAUGAGCCGAUGUCGGAUUAGCUAGUUGGCGGGGUAAAGACCCACGCAGGCGACGAUACGUAGCUGGUCUGAGAGGAGGAUCAGCCACACUGGAGCUGGAACACGGUCCAGACUCCUACGGGAGGCAGCAGUGGGGAAUAUUGGACAAUGGGCGCAAGCCUGAUCCAGCCAUACCGCGUGGGUGAAGAAGGCCUUCGGGUUGUAAAGCCCUUUUGUGGGGAAAGAAAAGCAGCAGGUUAAUACCCCGCUGUUCUGACGGUACCCAAAGAAUAAGCACCGGCUAACUUCGUG